Molecule: long non-coding RNA, 463 nt
Filed under: Bos taurus (domestic cattle)
Lineage: Eukaryota; Metazoa; Chordata; Mammalia; Artiodactyla; Bovidae
Description: long non-coding RNA NONBTAT026250
Source: RNAcentral
GUCGUUUUUCUCUUAAUGCAUGCUUUUACCUCAGGAUUUAUUACUGCAGAGCAUUAAAAUGUAACACUCUCUUGAAAAGUAGUAGGUAUUAAUACUUUUAAUAGUAUGCCUUGUAUUAAUAUUGUUGAAUCUGACCUGGGAUUUAUUUGUGUCUCUUGAUUUCACUGGAGUAUUCUCAUCCUAUGGAAUGUGGGUAGACCAAAUGUUAACCAGGUUUUUAGAGAGUGAGAAAUAUCACAUAUAUCGCCUUUUAUUUAAUGUAGAUUAUGGUUAAUAAGCUGAUUUGUAUUCUUAGUGUUUAUUUUGGCUAGAAAUAAUUACUAUUUCCUCAAUUUUAUUUCAGAGAAUACCUGAAUUAUUAAAUCAUCCAAGUCUUCCCUAUUUGAGACAUAUUCAUAUUUGAAAAUCCCCAACUCUUUGUAAUUGCUUAUUUUGAAAAGUGUGGAUUAAAAUUUAUAGUCAA